This 85-nucleotide transfer RNA is filed under the name Grosmannia clavigera kw1407. It matches the Rfam family "tRNA". From Rfam's summary of the family: Transfer RNA (tRNA) molecules are approximately 80 nucleotides in length. Lineage: Eukaryota; Fungi; Ascomycota; Sordariomycetes; Ophiostomatales; Ophiostomataceae. The record is from Rfam by way of RNAcentral.
UCCCCCGUGGCGCAAUUGGAUAGCGCGUUAGACUGUUAUACCUGUAGUAAUCUAAAGGUUGGUGGUUCAAACCCACCCGGGGGAG